UUCGCCCUUAGAGUUUGAUCCUGGCUCAGGACGAACGCUGGCGGCACGCUUAACACAUGCAAGUCGAACGAGAGAAGAGAAGCUUGCUUUUCUGAUCUAGUGGCGGACGGGUGAGUAACACGUGAGCAAUCUGCCUUUCAGAGGGGGAUACCGAUUGGAAACGAUCGUUAAUACCGCAUAAUAUAAUUGAACCGCAUGAUUUGAUUAUCAAAGAUUUAUCGCUGAAAGAUGAGCUCGCGUCUGAUUAGCUAGUUGGUAAGGUAACGGCUUACCAAGGCGACGAUCAGUAGCCGGACUGAGAGGUUGAUCGGCCACAUUGGGACUGAGACACGGCCCAGACUCCUACGGGAGGCAGCAGUGGGGAAUAUUGCACAAUGGAGGAAACUCUGAUGCAGCGAUGCCGCGUGAGGGAAGAAGGUUUUAGGAUUGUAAACCUCUGUCUUCAGGGACGAAAAAAGACGGUACCUGAGGAGGAAGCUCCGGCUAACUACGUGCCAGCAGCCGCGGUAAUACGUAGGGAGCGAGCGUUGUCCGGAAUUACUGGGUGUAAAGGGAGCGUAGGCGGGAUCGCAAGUCAGAUGUGAAAACUAUGGGCUUAACCCAUAAACUGCAUUUGAAACUGUGGUUCUUGAGUGAAGUAGAGGUAAGCGGAAUUCCUAGUGUAGUGGUGAAAUGCGUAGAUAUUAGGAGGAACAUCAGUGGCGAAGGCGGCUUACUGGGCUUUAACUGACGCUGAGGCUCGAAAGCGUGGGGAGCAAACAGGAUUAGAUACCCUGGUAGUCCACGCCGUAAACGAUGAUUACUAGGUGUGGGGGGACUGACCCCUUCCGUGCCGCAGCAAACGCAAUAAGUAAUCCACCUGGGGAGUACGACCACAAGGUUGAAACUCAAAGGAAUUGACGGGGGCCCGCACAAGCAGUGGAGUAUGUGGAUUAAUUCGAAGCAACGCGAAGAACCUUACCAGGUCUUGACAUCGUAUGCAUAGCUCAGAGAUGAGUGAAAUCUCUUCGGAGACAUAUAGACAGGUGGUGCAUGGUUGUCGUCAGCUCGUGCCGUGAGAUGUUGGGUUAAGUCCCGCAACGAGCGCAACCCUUACUGUUAGUUGCUACGCAAGAGCACUCUAGCAGGACUGCCGUUGACAAAACGGAGGAAGGUGGGGAUGACGUCAAAUCAUCAUGCCCCUUAUGACCUGGGCCUCACACGUACUACAAUGGCUGUUAACAGAGGGAUGCAAAGCCGCGAGGUGGAGCGAACCCCUAAAAGCAGUCUUAGUUCGGAUUGUAGGCUGCAACCCGCCUACAUGAAGUCGGAAUUGCUAGUAAUCGCAGAUCAGCAUGCGGCGGUGAAUACGAACCCGGGCCUUGCAC
RNAcentral lists this ribosomal RNA (1367 nucleotides) under uncultured bacterium. RNAcentral's name for it is "16S ribosomal RNA". It matches the Rfam family "Bacterial small subunit ribosomal RNA". The record is from RNAcentral.